This 552-nucleotide ribosomal RNA is filed under the name uncultured Myxococcales bacterium. RNAcentral's name for it is "bacterial SSU rRNA". It matches the Rfam family "Bacterial small subunit ribosomal RNA", at positions 355 to 897 of the family's 1533-position model. Lineage: Bacteria; Pseudomonadati; Myxococcota; Myxococcia; Myxococcales. The record is from RNAcentral.
UGGGGAAUAUUGGGCAAUGGGCGAAAGCCUGACCCAGCCACGCCGCGUGAGUGAUGAAGGCCUUCGGGUCGUAAAGCUCUGUGGGGAGGGACGAAUAAGUGCCGUACUAACACUACGGCGCCCUGACGGUACCUCCUUAGCAAGCACCGGCUAACCAUGUGCCAGCAGCCGCGGUAAUACAUGGGGUGCAAACGUUGCUCGGAAUUAUUGGGCGUAAAGCGCGCGUAGGCGGUUACUUAAGUCGGACGUGAAAGCCCUCGGCUUAACUGAGGAAGUGCACCCGAAACUGAGUAGCUAGAGUACGAAAGAGGGUCGCGGAAUUCCCGGUGUAGAGGUGAAAUUCGUAGAUAUCGGGAGGAACACCGGUGGCGAAGGCGGCGACCUGGGUCGAGACUGACGCUGAGGCGCGAAAGCGUGGGGAGCAAACAGGAUUAGAUACCCUGGUAGUCCACGCCGUAAACGAUGGGUGCUAGAUGUUUCUGGUAUUGACCCCGGAGGCGUCGUAGCUAACGCGUUAAGCACCCCGCCUGGGGAGUACGGCCGCAAGGCUAA